Molecule: long non-coding RNA, 256 nt
Organism: Antechinus flavipes (yellow-footed antechinus)
Lineage: Eukaryota; Metazoa; Chordata; Mammalia; Dasyuromorphia; Dasyuridae
Exons: 2
Source: RefSeq, a predicted model, not a curated record
UGGAAAGACUACGAUGGCUGGCGUUACGAAACUGGGAGGAGAAGGAAGAAGUGGAGUCUAUGGUGUUUCUCCGAGCUCCGAAGGCAUUGCUAACUUGGUGGUCUCCGCUGGAACAGCCUUGUAUGUAGCCUUCUGGUCACCUCACAACUCAAAAUAGAUUUAUAAUCACUAACAUAACCUAAACUGGAGAUCUGUUCUCAUUUUCCUUUCUCCCUUCCUCACCCACAAAAUAAAUGAAAUUGGCAAUAACCAAAAA